GCCAGCAGCCGCGGUAAUACAGAGGGUGCAAGCGUUGUUCGGAAUUAUUGGGCGUAAAGCGCGUGUAGGCGGCUUAGCAAGUCGGAUGUGAAAGCCCUCGGCUUAACCGAGGAAGUGCGUUCGAAACUGCCGAGCUUGAGUACCGGAGAGGGUGGCGGAAUUCCCGGUGUAGAGGUGAAAUUCGUAGAUAUCGGGAGGAACACCAGUGGCGAAGGCGGCCACCUGGACGGAUACUGACGCUGAGACGCGAAAGCGUGGGUAGCAAACAGGAUUAGAUACCCUGGUAGUCCACGCUGUAAACGAUGAGCGCUAGGUGUUGUGGGUGUUGACCCCUACAGUGCCGCAGCUAACGCAUUAAGCGCUCCGCCUGGGAAGUACGGCCCCAAGGCUAAAACUCAAAGGAAUUGACGGGGGCC
RNAcentral lists this ribosomal RNA (416 nucleotides) under uncultured bacterium. Its description in RNAcentral is "bacterial SSU rRNA". It matches the Rfam family "Bacterial small subunit ribosomal RNA", at positions 507 to 921 of the family's 1533-position model. The record is from RNAcentral.